GUCCCCAUCGAUUAGUGGUUAGAUCAUCACGUUGUGGUAGGCGCCUUCCUCGCUGCAAACCGUGAAGACCCAGGCUCGAACCCUGGUAGGGACA
This is a non-coding RNA of Punctularia strigosozonata HHB-11173 SS5, 94 nucleotides long. NCBI's taxonomy places the organism in Eukaryota, Fungi, Basidiomycota, Agaricomycetes, Corticiales, Punctulariaceae. The record is from the annotation of a RefSeq genome assembly.